UAAUUUUAUUCAGCUGUUUUUUGAACCCAUGCCCUUGGCGGGAGGAGAUCAGGCUCGUGAGCAGGACCCAGACUUGCUUCUUGUUACAGGAUUCUGAAGUGUACCUCACAAAUUCAUUAACUCAUACUUUUUUCAGGAUUUUCCAAGCUUUCCCAGUUAUUUAAAUUUAUUAGGUCACAGGCUUUUUUGGUGAAGGCUGAAAAAGGCAGUGGCUGUUGCAGGUUUUUCUCUGUCAUCUGUUCUUCUCUGAUACUCCCGACUACAUCAGGAACCUUUCGCUGCAGAGUCAGAUCUGCUGUUUUGCAUUAGGAGCUGAUGAAUGUAAAGCUGAGAUUUUCCAUGAGAAUCUGGAAGAGAAGCUGAAAUCACUUCAGUGAAAAGUGAGCCAGCUCGAUGGCAAUUGGAGUAGUCCAGAAUAAUCCGUGGAGGUCUUGGAUGUUCAAACUCCUUCUGGGACAACCUUGCCUAACAUCAGCAACCCAGCUUUACACCACCUGCUGUGUCACACAGGUCUCUGGCCCUUAGCCUGUUUGCAGUCAUAGAGCUGCAACAUCAGUGGAGUCUUUCAGUCAGUCGAAGGCAUUCAGCUGUCUCAGCAAGAGGGCACUGACAAACAGGGGCUGGACAGGAAUGAAAGCUGCCCCUUUGAAAUGGAAACAAUAAGCACUGUGCCUCACCCGUGCCCUCCACAGACCAGUGAAAGGAGCAUCCCUGGGUUUUGCUGGCGCCUGCCUUCCCCGCUGCCCGUGCCUGCGCCCCAGCCCAGGCUGCGGCAGUGGUAGAGGAAUGGGAAGGGAUCCAGAUUUUCCUUACAUCACUUGAAGAUCUGGAGCUGUGCUUCUGCCCAGGGCCCUCAGUUUCCAUGACCUGCACUGAAGCUUUUGGCCCCAACUUCAACUUGGAUGUGGAUGGUGUAACAGCAUCCCCCUGCACAGUCCUGUCCUGCCUGGGACAGCACACAUCCAUGCUCUCUAAUGAAAAGUCUGAUUCAGAAAACUUCAACAAGCUUUGGAAACACCAUAAUUGGUUUUAUUUGAAUAUGUUGAUUAUCAAAUACCAAGGUAAAAAUGGUGACAAGGAUGAAGUGGGCUCUUUUUAAAUGUAACUAGCUUUUCAAAUUAAGCAAUAAAAAUGACAGACCAUAUAUUAAGUCUGUUUAAUGUAAAUAUGGGUGGGUAGCUAGCUGCAAACCAGGCAUUAAACUGGUUUUUGAAUAAUGAAAAAUCCAGUCACAGUCAUUAACUUGCUCCAGAUCAAUUUUCUCCAAAGAAAAUGCAUAGAAAAUAUAACUAAACAGUGGUCUGGGUCACAUGUGCGAAGCCAGACCAAAGGGCAAUCAGAGACACAGCACUGUUUUCAAACAGCAAAUUGACUUUUUUUCUUCCCCAGCAAAUACUCUAACUCCUACCCUUGCUAUUCUUUCCUCCCCCCCCUGCUUUUCCCCAUCUAGCUCCUGCACUCUAGUAAAUUGUUUCUUUAUUCUUUUGCUUAAAAGCGUACCCUGGCACACUAUUGUCUGUGGAUCAAUAUGUGCACUCAAACUGGGAGUCAUAUGCAAAAAAAUGAGUAUAAUGGAAAAACUGAUACAGAUUAGUAGGAGAAUAGUUAAUGAAAGCUUUUUACUUUUUAUAUUAAGAAUAGACAUAUAAAACAAAAAACCUCAAUAUCAGAAAAAAAAAUCUUGAAAAUACAAGGUUUUCUUUUAGAAGCAGAUUGCUUUAAGGUGAAAAUGAUUGUAAAGUGAUGUCUGUGGCGGAUGAGAGUAUGCCUGUGUAACCAUUGUAUGUGAUAUAUAAUCAUUAUCUUGUUCAGGGACAAAAGUCACAUUUAGUAAAUGUUCUGCUUAUGACAAACCCACACAAUGUCUGUAAAUUUGUAAUUAGGAUGCAAACCUCUAGUAUCUAUUUACAAUAAGAUCUGGUCUUGAAUUACGAUUAGAUGUGACACUCAGUAUUAAAUGUCAAUUCUCUGAAAACCUUGUUUUGUGGUUCUCUCACAUAC
Molecule: long non-coding RNA, 2001 nt
Organism: Falco peregrinus (peregrine falcon)
Lineage: Eukaryota; Metazoa; Chordata; Aves; Falconiformes; Falconidae
Exons: 6
Source: RefSeq, a predicted model, not a curated record